RNAcentral lists this transfer RNA (86 nucleotides) under Candidatus Roizmanbacteria bacterium. RNAcentral describes it as "tRNA-Ser". It matches the Rfam family "tRNA". Rfam says of the family: Transfer RNA (tRNA) molecules are approximately 80 nucleotides in length. The record is from RNAcentral. Lineage: Bacteria; Candidatus Roizmaniibacteriota.
GGAGGGUUGGCAUGAAUGGUAUGGCGCUGGUUUCGAAAACCAGUGAGCGAAAGCUCUUACAGGUUCGAGUCCUGUACCCUCCGCUA